This 1364-nucleotide unclassified non-coding RNA is filed under the name uncultured Neocallimastigales. Its description in RNAcentral is "partial contains small subunit ribosomal RNA, internal transcribed spacer 1, 5.8S ribosomal RNA, internal transcribed spacer 2, and large subunit ribosomal RNA". The stretch from base 624 to 1364 matches the Rfam family "Eukaryotic large subunit ribosomal RNA", at positions 1 to 628 of the family's 3401-position model. The record is from RNAcentral. Lineage: Eukaryota; Fungi; Neocallimastigomycota; Neocallimastigomycetes; Neocallimastigales.
UUUCCGUAGGUGAACCUGCGGAAGGAUCAUUAAUAAAUUCUGACCAUAAAUUGGUUAGAUACAAUAAUCAUCCUACCCUAUGUGAAUUUGUUGUAUAAAAUAAUUUUUUGAUAAAAAUUAUUUGAUUUGUCUUUCCCUGAUGUUAAGAGAGGUUGUAAAAGACUUUUCUUACUCAGGGAUAGAUUUUUCAAAUAAUUUUUUGAGAAAGACCUUUUUUUAAAUAAAACUUUUUGUAUUCAUUUGUCUAAAAAAUUUUAUAAAUAAUAUAAAAACAACUUUUGACAAUGGAUCCUUGGUUCUCGCAUCGAUGAAGAACGCAGCAAAAUGCGAUAAGUAGUGUGAAUUGCAGAAUACGUGAAUCAUCGAAUCUUCGAACGCAUAUUGCACUUUUUAGUUUACUAAAAAAGUAUGUCUGUUUGAGUGUCAGUAAAAUAUUCUCAUAAAAAUUUAUUUUUUUAUGGUUUGAGUGUUUACAACGAUACAAUUGUUCACUUUAAAUUUUUUGAUAUUGGAAAUUUUUCAAUUUUUUUAAAAUUGGAUAAAAUUUCCGUAAAAGGAAUAAACUUGACAAUUUUAAAAAUAAGAAAAAACAUUUCCACAAUAAAGAAAAUUUAAAAUCAACUUGAUCUCAAUCAGAUAAGAGUACCCGCUGAACUUAAGCAUAUCAAUAAGCGGAGGAAAAGAAACUAACAAGGAUUCCCUAGUAACGGCGAGUGAAGCGGGAAGAGCUCAAAUUUGAAAUCUUAAAGGUUUCCCUUUACGAAUUGUAGUUAAAGAAGUGUUUUCUGUUGAGUUUGGUAAAGUUCUUUGAAUAGGACAUCAUAGAGGGUGAGAAUCCCGUAUUUGACCAUUAUUUCCAGCUGUGUGAUACACUUUCAAGAGUCGGAUUGUUUGGGAAUGCAGUCCAAAAUGGUGGUAAAUUUCAUCUAAAGCUAAAUAUUGGCGAGAGACGAUAGCGAACAAGUACCGUGAGGGAAAGAUGAAAAGAACUUUGAAAGAGAGUUAAACAGUACGUGAAAUUGUCAAAAGGGAAGCGUUUGACACCAGUGUUGUUUUAGAAAAUCAAUUAAAUGGUUGGAUUCUGUGUGUAUUGACUUACAGCUUCUUCCUUUUUCUGUCUUUUUUAAUGCACUUUCGUUAACAAGUCAACAUCAUUUCUUUGUUGUAAAGGGUAUGGAAGGUGGCUUCUUUCGGAGAAGUGUUUAUAGCCUUUGAUCUCUGCAAUCGGAGAGACUGAGGUCUGCAGCGUAGACUCUUCGGGUUAGAUACAUUGUGCUAAGUAUAGCUUUCAUAGACAACUUGUUGACUAUGUUUAGUCUUGUAGCUUACUCGCUUAUGCUAUUUUACCUACGCUUAGGAUGUUG